RNAcentral lists this long non-coding RNA (236 nucleotides) under Elaeis guineensis (African oil palm). RNAcentral's name for it is "long non-coding RNA (EGUI_LNC049567)". The record is from RNAcentral. Lineage: Eukaryota; Viridiplantae; Streptophyta; Magnoliopsida; Arecales; Arecaceae.
CCAUACGUCAAAGGGAGUGGUCAUUGUAAGUAUCAGUGUUUAGUAAUCUACACAUAGCCUCUCCCUCAAAACUCACACCACUUUGCCUAAAAAUAAUUGUCAGGGCCAUUCCAUAAGAUAAGGGAUCUUUGGAUCUAUUCAAGGUCUCCCUCAUGGCAUCAAUCAUCAGAAAUGGAAGAUUCAGAGGAGACUCAGAUACAACAUGGUGCAUCAAACAAAUAUCUCAUCCAGUCAUC